Molecule: ribosomal RNA, 492 nt
Filed under: uncultured bacterium
Lineage: Bacteria
Description: partial 16S ribosomal RNA
Rfam family: Bacterial small subunit ribosomal RNA
Source: RNAcentral
AGUGAACGCUGGCGGUAGGCCUAACACAUGCAAGUCGAACGGCAGCACAGUAAGAGCUUGCUCUUACGGGUGGCGAGUGGCGGACGGGUGAGGAAUACAUCGGAAUCUACUUUUUCGUGGGGGAUAACGUAGGGAAACUUACGCUAAUACCGCAUACGACCUACGGGUGAAAGCAGGGGAUCUUCGGACCUUGCGCGAUUGAAUGAGCCGAUGUCGGAUUAGCUAGUUGGCGGGGUAAAGGCCCACCAAGGCGACGAUCCGUAGCUGGUCUGAGAGGAUGAUCAGCCAAACUGGAACUGAGACACGGUCCAGACUCCUACGGGAGGCAGCAGUGGGGAAUAUUGGACAAUGGGCGCAAGCCUGGUCCAGCCAUACCGCGUGGGUGAAGAAGGCCUUCGGGUUGUAAAGCCCUUUUGUUGGGAAAGAAAAGCAGCAGGUUAAUACCCCGCUGUUCUGACGGUACCCAAAGAAUAAGCACCGGCUAACUUCGUG